UACAGAGGUCUCAAGCGUUGUUCGGAUUCAUUGGGCGUAAAGGGUGCGUAGGCGGCGCGGUAAGUCGGGUGUGAAAUCUCGGAGCUUAACUCCGAAACUGCAUUCGAUACUGCCGUGCUUGAGGACUGGAGAGGAGACUGGAAUUUACGGUGUAGCAGUGAAAUGCGUAGAUAUCGUAAGGAAGACCAGUGGCGAAGGCGAAUCUCUGGACAGUUACUGACACUGAGGCUCGAAGGCCAGGGGAGCAAACGGG
RNAcentral lists this ribosomal RNA (253 nucleotides) under uncultured bacterium. RNAcentral describes it as "partial 16S ribosomal RNA". It matches the Rfam family "Bacterial small subunit ribosomal RNA", at positions 524 to 776 of the family's 1533-position model. The record is from RNAcentral.